This 614-nucleotide ribosomal RNA is filed under the name Haloragis trigonocarpa. RNAcentral's name for it is "eukaryotic LSU rRNA". The stretch from base 239 to 394 matches the Rfam family "5.8S ribosomal RNA". The record is from RNAcentral. Lineage: Eukaryota; Viridiplantae; Streptophyta; Magnoliopsida; Saxifragales; Haloragaceae.
CCCGUGAACUUAUACUAACUCGGGGGCGUGGGGAAGGUGCACUCGUGCGCUGCCACCCUUCGCCCCCAGCCGGGACGUGCCUCUCGUCGCCCCGAAYCCCUUCGGGCAACGGCGUGGGGUGCUCAUACGGCAAAUUAAACGAACCCCGGCGCGGAAUGCGCCAAGGAAAUUCAAACGAACUUAGCACACCACAAGCCGACUUGUKCGGCUGCGGCGUUGCAAACUUCGAUACCUUAACGACUCUCGGCAACGGAUAUCUCGGCUCUCGCAUCGAUGAAGAACGCAGCGAAAUGCGAUACUUGGUGUGAAUUGCAGAAUCCCGUGAACCAUCGAGUCUUUGAACGCAAGUUGCGCCCGAAGCCAUUCGGCCAAGGGCACGCCUGCCUGGGCGUCACGUAUCGCGUUGCUCCCACAACACUACCUUGUGCUGCGGAAGCGGAUAUUGGCCUCCUGUGCUCUUGCAUGGCUGGCCUAAAUGGAAGCCUCGGGGUGACGAAGGGUCACGACAAGCGGUGGUUGAUAAUCUCUUGGCCCUUGUUGUGUCGUGCCCGUCCGUGCCUUUGCGAGCUAAGCAUCCCCAACGCGCCAUUUCUAGUGGUGCUUGCAUCGCGACC